GAUGAACGCUGGCGGCGUGCCUAAUACAUGCAAGUCGAGCGAACAGAUGAGGAGCUUGCUCCUCUGACGUUAGCGGCGGACGGGUGAGUAACACGUGGAUAACCUACCUAUAAGACUGGGAUAACUUCGGGAAACCGGAGCUAAUACCGGAUAAUAUAUUGAACCGCAUGGUUCAAUAGUGAAAGACGGUUUUGCUGUCACUUAUAGAUGGAUCCGCGCCGCAUUAGCUAGUUGGUAAGGUAACGGCUUACCAAGGCAACGAUGCGUAGCCGACCUGAGAGAGUGAUCGGCCACACUGGAACUGAGACACGGUCCAGACUCCUACGGGAGGCAGCAGUAGGGAAUCUUCCGCAAUGGGCGAAAGCUUGACGGAGCAACGCUGCGUGAGUGAUGAAGGUCUUCGGAUCGUAAAACUCUGUUAUUAGGGAAGAACAAAUGUGUAAGUAACUAUGCACGUCUUGACGGUACCUAAUCAGAAAGCCACGGCUAACUACGUG
RNAcentral lists this ribosomal RNA (497 nucleotides) under uncultured bacterium. Its description in RNAcentral is "partial 16S ribosomal RNA". It matches the Rfam family "Bacterial small subunit ribosomal RNA", at positions 28 to 507 of the family's 1533-position model. The record is from RNAcentral.